This 253-nucleotide ribosomal RNA is filed under the name uncultured bacterium. Its description in RNAcentral is "partial 16S ribosomal RNA". It matches the Rfam family "Bacterial small subunit ribosomal RNA", at positions 524 to 776 of the family's 1533-position model. The record is from RNAcentral.
UACGGAGGGUGCAAGCGUUAUCCGGAUUCACUGGGUUUAAAGGGUGCGUAGGUGGGUUGGUAAGUCAGUGGUGAAAUCUCCGAGCUUAACUUGGAAACUGCCAUGGAUACUAUAGGUCUUGAAUACUGUGGAGGUCAGCGGAAUAUGUCAUGUAGCGGUGAAAUGCUUAGAUAUGACAUAGAACACCAAUUGCGAAGGCAGCUGGCUACACAAAUAUUGACACUGAGGCACGAAAGCGUGGGGAUCAAACAGG